UAAGUAUUCCGCCUGGGGAGUACGGUCGCAAGAUUAAAACUCAAAGGAAUUGACGGGGACCCGCACAAGCAGCGGAGCAUGUGGUUUAAUUCGAAGCAACGCGAAGAACCUUACCUAGACUUGACAUCUCCUGAAUUACUCGUAAUGGAGGAAGCCCUUCGGGGCAGGAAGACAGGUGGUGCAUGGUUGUCGUCAGCUCGUGUCGUGAGAUGUUGGGUUAAGUCCCGCAACGAGCGCAACCCUUAUCGUUAGUUGCUACCAUUAAGUUGAGCACUCUAACGAGACUGCCGCGGUUAACGUGGAGGAAGGUGGGGAUGACGUCAAAUCAUCAUGCCCCUUAUGUCUAGGGCUACACACGUGCUACAAUGGCCGGUACAACGAGAUGCAAACCCGUGAGGGGGAGCCAAACUCAAAAGCCGGUCCCAGUUCGGAUUGUAGGCUGAAACUCGCCUACAUGAAGUCGGAGUUGCUAGUAAUCGCGAAUCAGCAUGUCGCGGUGAAUACGUUCCCGGGUCUUGUACACACCGCCCGUCACACCA
Molecule: non-coding RNA, 539 nt
Filed under: Clostridium colicanis DSM 13634
Lineage: Bacteria; Bacillati; Bacillota; Clostridia; Eubacteriales; Clostridiaceae
Description: Bacterial small subunit ribosomal RNA
Rfam family: Bacterial small subunit ribosomal RNA
Source: Rfam by way of RNAcentral